GAUUUUAGUUAAGAGACUAAUCUUGUACCAUCGUCGCCAGCUUUCCAAUACUUGACACUAAGUUUCGCAUUAUAAUGCAUUAAGAACUGAGGGAAGCGUAAAAAAUGAAAUGUAAAUUGACAUUUGUUUAUUCUAUAUAAACAAGCCACAUUUGUCAGCGACAUCAAAUGAAACGGCGCUGACGAAAAUUCCUUACAAGCAAAUAAAAAUGGAGUUUCCUCAUAUGAAGGAUUUGAAAAAACAGAAGCAAAAUGUGAUGUGUUUAACUAUUCCAAAUAAGAAAAGGUGUCAUUCAAGAGUUUAAGUGCAGCUGGUAAAGAAGAAUUAUUAUUAUCUUUUUGGCUAUUUUGGAAUUGCAAUUCCGGGCGCUGAAGACGUAGCUACAUUUUGCGCUUCAAUUAAAAAUUUUAGUGACAAUUCAUUGCUGUCUCGGACGAUAUUCCAAAUAGUGCAACUUAGGAAACGAAGAGAAAGGCGGGCUCUAACGUCAAGGAGUUGUAUCGGGAAAAGACCCAGGAUGAGAAAGAAUAUCGGAAGCAAAACCUGCAAUAUCAACAGCAAGCAUUGCAAAUAAUGAGGGAAAGGAACGAUAAUGCGAAAUGGUCUCACGAUAGUAUGUAACAACUGUUUACAGCAAAGAAUUAUUUGGAUUUAUGAACAAAUAAAAAAAACUAUGCAAAGCAAAGUAGAUCCAAUAUAUAAAAAGUUUUUUUCGAUCGAAAUAGGAAAUCAUACUUUCAAUACUUAUUUAAUUUUUGUGCGAGUUAUAAACAAUUUUAAAAAUUAAUUCUAUUUUUUAGACGAUUAUAAUAUUUGUAAUUUUUGCACCAGCAAUACUUUAACUUCUUCGCCAGACUACCACAAUUGAAAAGUCUCCACACAAACGUCAAUACCAUCCAUUUCAUAGGUCCACCGUGCUGAAGUAUUCAAAUAAUCUCCUUUCACUUUGUAGAGAAUACUUGCAAAAGCAUUUGUGACUGUUCCAAACUUCUUUGAACUGUAGCAGCUCUUUUAUGAGCAAAGUUACGAUGCAUUGCACCGAACAUGUACACA
Glossina fuscipes is the source of this 1053-nucleotide long non-coding RNA. RefSeq lists it as uncharacterized. Lineage: Eukaryota; Metazoa; Arthropoda; Insecta; Diptera; Glossinidae. The transcript is spliced from 3 exons. The record is from RefSeq and is a predicted model, not a curated record.